GCCCCAGUAGCUCAGUGGUCAGAGCGUUGGUUUUGUAAACCAAGGGUCGUCGGUUCGACUCCGGCCUGGGGCU
Molecule: transfer RNA, 73 nt
Filed under: Candidatus Pacearchaeota archaeon
Lineage: Archaea; Nanobdellati
Description: tRNA-Thr
Rfam family: tRNA
About the family: Transfer RNA (tRNA) molecules are approximately 80 nucleotides in length. Their secondary structure includes four short double-helical elements and three loops (D, anti-codon, and T loops).
Source: RNAcentral